This is a long non-coding RNA of Amblyraja radiata (thorny skate), 72 nucleotides long. RefSeq lists it as uncharacterized. The record is from RefSeq and is a predicted model, not a curated record. Lineage: Eukaryota; Metazoa; Chordata; Chondrichthyes; Rajiformes; Rajidae. The transcript has 3 exons.
CAAGUACUCACACUCACUCGUCCCCGGCCCAUUGACAACCCUGAUCCUGACAGUGUGUUUAAGAAGGAACUG